Molecule: ribosomal RNA, 253 nt
Filed under: uncultured bacterium
Lineage: Bacteria
Description: partial 16S ribosomal RNA
Rfam family: Bacterial small subunit ribosomal RNA
Source: RNAcentral
AUCGUAGGUUCCGAGCGUUAUCCGGAUUUACUGGGCGUAAAGCGCGUUCAGGCGGUUUGGCAAGUCGGGCAUGAAAUCUCUCGGCUCAACCGGGAGAGGUUGUCCGAUACUUCCAGACUUGAGGGCAGUAGAGGGUGGUGGAAUUCCGGGUGUAGUGGUGAAAUGCGUAGAUAUCCGGAGGAACACCAGUGGCGAAGGCGACUUUCUGGCCUGUUCUUGACGCUGAGGCGCGAAAGCUAGGGGAGCAAACGGG